Long non-coding RNA from Pyrus x bretschneideri (Chinese white pear), 861 nucleotides. RefSeq lists it as uncharacterized. The record is from RefSeq and is a predicted model, not a curated record. The transcript has 3 exons. NCBI's taxonomy places the organism in Eukaryota, Viridiplantae, Streptophyta, Magnoliopsida, Rosales, Rosaceae.
CUCUCUUCACUCUAUCUCUCCCACAUCUCUCUCACCUCUCUCUUCCUUCUUCCUUGGCAAGCACCGAAGGGUGCGACUGCCUUGAACCACCAUUACUCAUACCUCAUCGGCGAGCCACAUCACCAUCACCCCAGCUCGUCCCAUCUCUUUAUUCCUGAGCCUAUAACCCAAACUCGAACAACUCUCGGACCUCACAUUGGAGAAUAAUCGGAAAUGGAGAACUUCGGCAAGUUGUCGUCGUCCCCGACGAAGAAAUACCCUGAGAGUAACAAACCCAAUUUUUCGGCAGAGAUCUGGCCACUUUCGAGCCGUUUUCUAGUCAAUUCAGGCCAUGGUCGAGGAAACCAAAGGAUCUAUCGCGACGGUUGCAACGUCAACUGGUCAGAGAAGAAGAAGAAAAAAAAAAAGGAAGCCUAGAUCCGCAACCCAGAUCCAGAUCCGAACCCCGGAUUCGGCCCGGGCGAUCUCUGAAUUGGGCUUGGAAUAUUCCUUGUAAUGUUCUUUGAAUAUUCCUUGUGUUGACUUUUUCUAAAUUUUCUUGAUAACCCUUUUAGGCUAAUUUCGAUGUCCCUUUUUGACAUUCAUUUAGUGAAAUUUCGAAGUUUUAACAUAGUUGACCACUGGGCCGUUUGGUUGACUUUUUAGGGUUGACCGUCGAUUUUUUAUAAAAUUUGCCUAGGGCCCUUCUUAACAUAUUUCGACGUCCUGAUUUCAAAUCCGCACUCAAUUUUCCCAAAUUCAAACAUUUUAAUCAAGUUUUAACGGGUCCCAAUAUUAUACUUAGGUGUGAUUACUAUGGGAGACUUCGACUUUCCUAGUUCGAACGGCUGCGACAUCACAAGUAUCUGUGAGUGGGUCUUU